CUUUCGGGUUGUAAACCCCUUUUCUUGGUGAGGAGGAAGGACGGUAGCCAAGGAAUAAGCCUCGGCUAACUACGUGCCAGCAGCCGCGGUAAUACGUAGGAGGCGAGCGUUAUCCGGAUUCACUGGGCGUAAAGGGCGUGUAGGCGGCUCCUUAAGUUGGCGGUGAAAUCUCCUGGCUCAACCGGGAGGGGUCUGCCAAAACUGAGGGGCUUGAGGGCAGCAGAGGAAGGUGGAAUUCCCGGCGUAGCGGUGAAAUGUGUAGAUAUCGGGAGGAACACCAGUGGCGAAAGCGGCCUUCUGGGCUGUUCCUGACGCUGAGGCGCGAAAGCGUGGGGAGCGAAGCGGAUUAGAUACCCGCGUAGUCCACGCCCUAAACGGUGGACACUAGGUAUAGGGGGUAUCGACCCCCUCUGUGCCGAAGCUAACGCCUUAAGUGUCCCGCCUGGGGACUACGGCCGCAAGGCUAAAACUCAAAGGAAUUGACGGGGGCCCGCACAAGCAGCGGAGCGUGUGGUUUAAUUCGAUGCAACACGAAGAACCUUACCAAGGCUU
RNAcentral lists this ribosomal RNA (552 nucleotides) under uncultured bacterium. RNAcentral's name for it is "bacterial SSU rRNA". It matches the Rfam family "Bacterial small subunit ribosomal RNA", at positions 415 to 982 of the family's 1533-position model. The record is from RNAcentral.